AACGAACGCUGGCGGCGUGCCUAACACAUGCAAGUCGAACGCGAAAGUCCUUCGGGAUGAGUAAAGUGGCGCACGGGUGAGUAACACGUAGGUGACCUGCCUUUUAGAGGGGAAUAACCAGAAGAAAUUUUGGCUAAUGCCGCAUACGAAGCACGGUUUUAAGACUGUGUUUGAAAGAAUGCCUCUGCAUAUGCAUUCGCUAAAAGAUGGGCCUGCGGAACAUUAGCUAGUUGGUGGGGUAGAGGCCUACCAAGGCAACGAUGUUUAUCCGGUCUGAGAGGAUGAUCGGACACAACGGAACUGAGACACGGUCCAGACUCCUACGGGAGGCAGCAGUGGGGAAUAUUGCGCAAUGGGGGAAACCCUGACGCAGCAACGCCGCGUGAGUGAGGAAGGACUUCGGUCUGUAAAGCUCUGUUAAUGUGGAAAAAUGGCAGUUGGUCUAAUAGGCCGAUUGUUUGAUGGUACACGUAGAGGAAGCACCGGCUAACUUCGUGCCAGCCGCCGCCGUAA
Molecule: ribosomal RNA, 513 nt
Filed under: uncultured bacterium
Lineage: Bacteria
Description: partial 16S ribosomal RNA
Rfam family: Bacterial small subunit ribosomal RNA
Source: RNAcentral